CCCUCGCCCCAUAAGUAAAAGGAGCCCGUACAAGAUCCCAAUCACUAUAGUUAUCAUUCCAAAGGUCAUCCAACACAAAUAGGAACUUUUUCUCCCUCACUUGUUCCCUAAGUUCAACUUGAAGCAAGCUAUCUUGAAGACUGCAAGGUUUUGAGAUAAUUGAUUCAAUAAGGGUUUUAGUUACCCUCAUAGCAUCAAAAUCAUCGGAAACACAGGCCCAAGCUGUAACAUCAAAAUGCUCUUUUAUAUUUUUAUCAUUGUAAAGGAGCUGAGCAAGGGUUGUCUUACCAACCCCACCCAUUCCCACUAUGGGGAUUACUGAUAUGUGGCUGCUACUUGCAUCAUCCAAUAGCAACAUUCUCUUCAACUUCUUUUUAUCUCCAUCCCUACCACAAGCACUAAAGUCAUGCUCAACAAAGGAUGUUGUGGGAGUUUUUUGAGAAACCUUCUCCUUAACGCCUCCUAUAAGACCAAGGAGAUCCUUUUGUUUCGCAAGAUGUUCCAACCUUUGGAAUAACUCUUGUAUCCUACCAUUCAUGCCUUGACAAAAAGGAUUAAAAGAAGUAGAGAGGAAGUUCCACACCUGGGACGUCUUUUUGGUUUGAUAUUCAUCAGCUUCCACCUUGCUUCGCAAAACUUCAGUAUCGAUCUCAGCCAGCAGGUCCUCGGCAUCGAAGACGGCAUGUUUGAGCUCGUCGAGCCACUUUCUCACACUAGGUUUCUCAAUUUGCUUCUCUUCUGCAUCAUCGAGCACUGCAUCGAGGGUCAGAAAAGUCAGCUUCAGUUUCUCCAAGAGUGAAUGGUCAAGCUUUUUUCCCCGUAAGAAGUCCAUGAACUCCCCAGAAGCAAUCUUGUCGCACAGCGUCUGAAUGGAAGCAGAGAGAAAAGCCUCUCCAAUCAAAGCUCCUGCCAUUUCUCUCUCUCUUUCUCUGUGUUUUUUUUUUUUUUUUAUCUUCAAAGAAGUGUUGAGGUGAGGAAGAAGAAGAGUCUUAUUAGCUUAAUUUCGUUUCGGAAAGAGACCCCACACGUUAAUCAAAGAGUCUUAUUACCUAUAAUUUAAGUGACAAUUUCAUAGUAGUCGGUUUGGUUGGUGUGAGAGUGCGGGUUGGGUGGCUAUUUUUUAGUUAUUAACCAUAACACCACUUUUGUUUGUUGAUAAUUUGAUAUUAAGCCGCGUUGGAAUUUUGCUUUUGGGCGGAUACAACACAGGAUCUUUAAAUUGAUCACCUAAUUAAUUAACAUUAAAAUUGUAAUCUUUUGUUGAUUAUGUUAUCAUGUCAUCAUGCAUGUGAAAAGAAGUCACACUGACCUGGUUAAUUAAUAUAUUGGAGUUAUAUUACAAGUUGUUAAACUCAAAAAUAGAUGGGAUCUCUUUUUUUUCAUCCCUUGCCAGGUCUUAUAAUUGGCUUGUAAAAUAGGAGAGCUUCAACUCGAGUCCAAGCAGGCAACAAUACAAAGCCUUUCAUCAAAAUUUUGUCAUCCAAGUGCACCUAGCAAUCCCUUCUUCUAGUUGUCCACCCAUUUUUCGAUUGGUUACCAAUUUCUUCUUUUGCAGUAUGUCGAGAUUAAAAUGAAUAAAAGUGAAUUAAAUUAGUAUCAUGCAUCGUACAAAGACAUACUCAGAACGAUAAUUACAAUAAAGGAUGUUAUCAAUACUUUGCUUCAACAUCAAACAACAAAUCUAUCGUUGGAAACAAAUAACAAGAUAAUGCAUUUACGGAUCAUAUUUUUUUAGAGUUUAUUGCCUUCAUCGUGAGAUGAUGACUCCGAUUUCUAUUAAUUUUGAGCAAUAUAGAUAUUCUGAAUAUCUGAUGAAUGAAAAAAAUGGAAUGCCAAAAAUAGCAAUGUACCGAGACUUAUAAAACACCAAAGUUUUAAAUAUGAAUAUUAAAAAGAUACUUAUGAUAAAAAGAAUUUUUGGCAUUUUAGCUAAAAUGAUCCCUAAGAUUGAUAUAACUCAUCACUUUUGGUCUCCGAGAUUUGAAAUUAAUAGAGGUGAUCCUUGAGUUUGACUACCAUCAAUCAUUUUGUUCAUUCUGUAAAAAAAAAAAUGUUACAUAAGGACCAAAAUGACAAAAAAAAAACCCUUAAUUUAAUAAAAUAUGGCCCAAAAUGAUUUUGGCAAAAUUAAGAUCAUUUUUAUCAUUUUAUCCUUAUUUAACAGAGAUUUUUCGCAGAAUAGUCAAAAUGGUUGAUGGUGAAUAAACUCAGCUCAGGACCAAUUCUAUUAAUUUUAAAUCUCAAAACUAAAUUGAAAAGUUAUAACAAUCUCAACUUCAACUUCUCCAUGAGUGAAUGGUAAGUUAUUUCUGCCGGAACAAGUCCAUAAACUCGUCAGAAGCAAUCUUGUCGCACAGCCUCUGGAUGGAAGAGGAGAGAAAAACCUCUCCAAUCAAAGCUCUUGCCAUUUCUCUUCCCCUCUCUCUGGUUUUUUUUUUUUUUUUUGUACUUCAAAGAAGUGUUGAGGUGAGGAGGUGAGGGGGUGAGGAGGUGAGGAGGUGAGGAAGAACAAGAGAUGACUUGAUACACUUUUGGUCAAUAAUUGAGUGGACCCCACACGUUAAUCAUAGAGUCUACUUUUUAUUUUUUUAACAUAUCAUAGAGUCUUAACAAUUUCCUAAUAGUUGGUGUGAGAGUGACAGAGUGGGUUAGUUGGUGUGAGAGUGACAGAGUGGGUUGUGGGAAUUGGAUAAGGAUUAUUUGCCCUCCACUUCCGGUGUUCUUCCGUGCCCUCUUGUUUGUGUGGUCACGGUUAAGCCAUGUCAACAUUUUAUAUUACUAUUUAUUUUUGUCUUAUUAUCUCUAUAAAAAAACAAUAUAAAAUAUUAAUGUGGCUUAACCGUGACUACACAAACCAAGAGGACACCGCAAGUGGAAGGGCAGACAAUCCUUGUCCCACUGAAAUUCACUCGGACAAGGAUUGUCUGCCCUCCCACUUCCGGUGACCUUCCGUGCCCUCCUGUUUUGUGUGGUCACGGUUAAGCCACGUCAACAUUUUAUAUUGAUUUUUUAUAGAGAUAAUAAGACAAAAAUAAAUAGUAAUAUAAAAUGUUGACGUGACUUAACCGUGACCAUAUAAACAGGAGGGCACAGAAGGGUACCGCAAGUGGAAGGGCAGACAAUCCUUGUCCAUUUCAGUGGACCUCACACGUUAAUCAUGCAUGUAAGUAGCAUCACAUUGACUUAGUUAAUUAAUAGAUUGCAAUUGGACUAUAAAAAUAGGAACAAUUUUUCUUUAUAUCCGGAACACGAGUGGUAUAGUGCAUGUAAUUAUAUAAGUGAAUGAAAAUUUUAUUUUUUAAGUUGUUAAUCUUUUAAUAUAAGUAUCCCACAACUUGUAUAGUGAUACAUGAUGUACCACUCCGUGUUCUGAUCGCACUGAAAAAUUCUCUCCAAAAUAGAAGGGCUCUCUAUUUUUACUCCAUUUGCCAGGAUAUAUUUUUCAUUGUGAUCAACACACGAGUGGUAUACCACGUGUUUUAUAUAAACGAUGAGAAAUUUUACUUUUUAAGUUAUUAACUUUUUAACACACAUAUCUCACCACUUAUAUAGUGACAAGUGGUGUAUUAACCCGUGUUCUGUCACUAAAAAAUCUCUCCCUUGCCAGGUCUAUGGGGAGAUCAAAGCUUCUACGCCCAAAAUGGGCGUGGUCUCUCUGUACCUCAAAUUAUUGUUUGACACACAUUAAGUCUAUAAAAACAAAGUUAAAAAAAAAAAUAAGUUUACAAACAAAUAUCAGUCAAUAAUUGGAGCCAAAGAGAGACUACACUCAUCUUAGAUACAGAAAAUUUGAUCACGUUCUAGAGAUGUCAAUGGGUUGUAAAAGGAGUAUGAUAUUCACACACUUUUUUUUACUUCUCACAUACCUUUUAUUAAUUUAUGUCAUUUGAUUUCCUUCAAUUCAUCCAAUCUGACAACCUAAAAUUAAGAAAACAUGUGAUAAGUAAAAAGAAGUGUAUAAACAGUAUAUUCCGCCGUAAUAGGGGAACUUCAACUCGAUUCUAAGCAGGCAACAAAACAUUGUCUUUCAUCAAAAUUUUGUCCUCGAAGUGCGCACCCUAGCAAUCCCUUCUGGUUGUCCACCCAUGACCCAUCCUUUUCAAUUGGGACAAGGAUUGUCUGCCCUCCCACUUCAGGUGCCCUCCCGUGCUCUCCUGUUUGUGUGGUCACGGUUAAGUUAUGUCAACAUUUUAUAUUACUAUUCAUUUUUGUCUUAUUAUCUCUAUAAAAAAUAAUAUAAAAUAUUGACGUGGCUUAACCGUGACCACACAAAACAGGAGAGCACGAGAGGGCACCGGAAGUGGGAGGGCAGACAACCCUUGUCCUUUCAAUUGGUUACUAAUUUCCUCUUUUGCAGCCCGUUGAGAUUAAAAUGAAUAAAAAUGAAUUAAAUUAGUAUCACUUGUCAUAUAUAUGUGUUCACGCUCAGAAUGAUAAUUACAACGAGCAAAAUAAUAUGCGUCAACCUCAAACAACAAACAUAUCAUUAAGAAUAAACAGCAAGAUCUUGCAUCUAUGAAUCAUAAUUUUUAGAGUUUACUACCUUCUUCGUGAGAUGACUCCAAGUUCUAUUAAUUUUGAGCAACAUAGAUAUUAUGAUGGAUGAAAAAAAUGAAGGCUUUAAUGUUCCGUGACUUAUGAAACACCCAACUUUAAACAUGAAAAUCUGAAAGAUAUUUCUCUAAAAACAAUUUAAUUUAAAGAAAACUUAGAAGGCCUCACUAUAAACAUAAACGAUCUGGGAGGGAAGAAACAUUCGGGAAGAGGGAGAGCGAGUUUAGAGAUGUGGUUUUGUGGCGCUUGGUACUUGGAGUGAGACGGAACAGGUUCAUCUCACAUUUGGUGCGACAAAAAAAACGUAAGACUCACCUAUCCUUAGAAUGAAUUUUAGUUUAAUUUUUGUACCACACUCCCUCAUGAAAAGUACUUAUUCCACUCCAUGGAACGAACUUAUUUCACCCCUUGAAACACAAAAAUACCCCUGCUGUUUUUCAAUAAUUCUACUACCAAAUCAUAAAAACAAACCCUAAUCUUGUGUCUUUCUUCUUUCCUAGUAGCCUCUCUCUCUCUCCUCGUCUUCUCGGCGGAGAGGCUCCAUUCUCUGCUUCGUUCAUUACCUCUCUCUUCUCUCGUCGCAGCAUCUCAAUAUCUUCCCGCUUUGAUUUAAUUGUCAGUUUUUCUGAGUUGGUUGUGAUUUUCCUCAUUCAAUUAACCAUGGUUUUUUUAUGUGUAGAAGUGGAAAACCCUAGAAAUUUAUGGGUUUUCACUGAAAUUGAUUUUCCGUACCACAAGGUUUGUACUGUUUGGGGUUAAGGGUGUAAUUUAGAGGUAUUCAUCCAUUUCUGUGUUUAUGUUUAUGCAACUAUUGGCUGGGAAAAUGAAUCGUUUCUUAAUUUUUCCUUCUCAUAAGCUUAAGGGAAUAUGGCUGCUGUGAUGAAUGUGAAAUAAUUACCCAGAAAUACAUUAUUACCCAGAAGAACCUAAUGAACUUCUUCAUUACCAACAAAUAUUAAUAUUCAUUAAGUGUCAUUGUCACAAAUAUAUCAUAAAAUAAGCAAGGAUAUGUUGGCCUUUUAAUUUUUUUGUUCUUUUCCGCCUGAGCGUAACAAACGCGAAACAUAACAAUUGACUCAUUUCAGCAUGUAUGUACCAGACGUAUAUUCGAACCUCUGCUGCAUCCUAUUUUGUCCCGUCUACACAUCAAAUGCUACCUUAAUUCUUUUUAAAUUUGAAUUUUUAUUUUUUUAAUCUUAUUUUAUUUUCUAUGAUUUUAAAUGCCCAUAAACUAACUGAACAGUGGAGCAAAAGUGGAGAGAUUUCACCUGAAAAUUGUAGUAAUGACCUCUCAACUUUAACUCAAUUGAAACCAAGGUAUUAAAUAUCGGUAAUAUAGGAAAUAUCGGUAGUCCGAAAACACGGAAAUAUCGACGGAAAUAUCGAUAAAAUAUCGAUAUCGAUAAAAUUACAUGUAAACCACGGAAAUUGUAAGAAAAACUUGGAAAUUUUUAUUGAAACUUUGCAGGAUGUUUAUUUAGUCAAUUAUCUAUUAGUUUAUCACAAAAAAUUGGAAGGAAAUGCAUUGCAUGAUGGAUUUAACAUUAUCAAGUUGAUUAUAUAGCGAGCUGACAAACAUUGUGAGUGUAGAAAAUAUGUAGUAAUUAAUCAUUUAUAUAUGUAGUAAUUAAUGAAAGAAGUUUAAACACACCAUAAUCAUUUAUAUAUAAUGAAUUAGUACAAUAUUUUACACUUUAUAUAUUGCAUGGUAAGAUACAUGAGUGACUUAUUCUUAUAACGGGUACAUAUCAAUUUUUUUUUAUAAAAAUUAAUGGGUACAAACUUAUUCUUAUUUUAUUUUUUAUAUAUUUGAAAUGUUUGAAUUGAAAAUUAAUUAGGAGUUUAAUAAGGAUGUGAGUAUUAAAACUCUAAAUAAAUUACUAAUUUUUGUUAUGAAAGUUAUGUAACUUACAUGUAAUUCAUUAAUGCUAGAGACUUUGAUCAAAAUAUAAAAACUGAUAAGAUCUUAGUAAAUGAACAUUAGAAACUAGGGAUCGGAUACUAAUUUUUCUUUAUUUUUUUUAAAAUAAUAAUAAUUUGGUUAAUCACAUUUUACAUCAUCUAGUUUCGAGAAAAAAGAAAACUGUUUGGUCAAUUUUGAAAGCCAUAUCAAAAUUUUGAGUGAUAUUUUUAUCCAACGUGUUAAUACAAAAUCAUAUAGGCAUAGUACAUGAUUAUGUUUUGGUAAUCGAAGACGCCAAAAUGAGAUGAACGGUUCUACUUAGGUAAUUAUAGGUUUUUAAUUACAUUGAUGAUGUAGUAAAUAUAAGACUGACGUAGAAACGUCACUUCCACCAUUUAGACUAAAUUGUAUGAUUGGUUUUCCUUUCAUGUUACUAAUUUGAAUAGAAGCCAAAGCUCUACGAUGACGAGUUUUUGUUCAUAUGUGCUAGUUUGGUUUCCCUCGUUAGCCCACAAAUAAAUCGAAUGAUAAAAUGUAAAAAGAAUAUCCAACCAAUCUAAAAUUUAAAAAUACAUUAAGUCAUAUAACUUAAGAUAUUUUGAAUGGUUAUAUUUAACUUUUUAAAAUUAAAAGUAAAAAUCAUGGUUGGGUGGGUGGUUGAAAUUGAAACUUUGAAAAGGUGCAGCAUGCUUCCCCAUUUCAGCACCACGUGUGUGGUGUGACCUCCCCUCCAUCCCGAUUCCCCAUCCUUCACAUCUAUCUUAUCUCUCAGUCCUCUCUUUCUCUCCACUUUCCAGGCUCUCCCUCUCUCUGCUUCUCUCCCUCAGUUUCUUCUUCUCUGCAACACACGCACAGACCACACACGCACACACCACACACGCAGUCUCUCAUUCUCUCCCUCAGUCUCUCCGUCGUCCGUCCAUCCUUCUCCCUCAGCCUCGAUCUCGAUCCUUCUCUCCCUCAGUCUCUCCGUCCGUCUAUCCUUCUCCCUCAGCCUCGAUCUCGAUCCUUCUCCCUCAGUCUCUCCGUCCAUCCUUCUCCCUCAGUCUCUCCAUCCUUCUUCUUCUCCCUCAGUCUCUCGAUCCUUCUCCGGUUCUCCCCCCCCAUCAAAUCCGAGCGGGUUUUGGGAUCCGAAGAAAGGGAUUGCUCAUUUUCAGGGUCUGAGCGUGGAUUGCUCAUUUUCGGCUGCCAUUGCGACGACGACGGAGGAUCCUCGGUGAUAUUAUGGCUAAUAUCGCGAUAAUAUCGCUAAUAUCGCGAUAUUAUCGAUAUUAGCGAUAUUAUCGCGAUAUUAUUACGAUACUUAACUGUAAACGUUGAAAAUAUCGUUAUAUGAAAAUAACGAUAUUAUCGGCGAUAUUUCGUCGAUAAUAUCGAUAUUUAAAUCCUUGAUUGAAACAAUGAUUAUUCAACUAAAAAUUCCUAACCAUUGGUCACUUUACUUAACAAAACGUGCAACUAUGGACAUUUUCAACAACUCCGUCAGGACUUUCGUCAAAAUGAGACUAAAUCAAGGGGCAAAUAUGAAAAAUCAAAUGAGAAAAAUUACAGCAAUGAUCCCUCAAUUUUAACCCAAUUGUAGCAAAGGUUCUUCCAACAUGACUUAUUUUGACGGAGUUUAUAAAAAUGAUCAUAGAUGCAUGUUUUGAUAAGUAAAAAUGACUAAUGAUUAUGAAUUUUUAGUUACGGAACUAUUCCUCCAACUAAAUUUAAGUUAUAUUACUACAAUUUCUCUUAGCAGCAAUGGGGGUAUUUAGCCAUAAAUAAAAGUAUAUAAUUAAAUUUCAAGGGAAAAUUCGACAAAUAGUUAAAACGAAACUAAAAAUCAGAGUUGAAAGUAUAACUUCAAACACAUUAUUUGGUUUUAACGAAAAACAAGUCUAAUUGAAGCAAAAGAAAUGCAUCCCGCCACUAAUCACCGCGCCUUCUCUCUCUGUCUAUCUCUGAGUUGCCAUAGCAUCGACCACCCAAGAAAACCGUACGUCUCCAGGUGCCUCACUCCGCAUUCAAAUGUGAAGCAUUACUACGGUUUCAUUUCAGCAGGGCGUCUUUGGAGUGUUGCAAUUUUCAAAGUAUAAACUUUUCCCUUAUCAUCCCACUUCCCCCAUUCUCAAAUUUGCCAUAUUUUCCUUAUCUUCAACGCCUUUGUCCUUUUCGCAGAAAGCCCGUCGCCGAUUGAUUCAAUCCGUAGCAGAUUUUGGCGCGAAGAAGCUCCAUUGAUCCCGAAUACACAAAUGUGUUGGAGCAAUGAAUAGGGCACCUCAUAUGAGGCAAGAGUAAGAGGAACAAAGAAAUAGCCUUUUUACUUUGCAUUAUAUUCCCGUUGCUUCCAUUAUUAUUUAUUCGGAAUUCGGGUAUGUGCAGUCGUCCCAAUCUGGGUCAAGAUUUAUGUGCCCAGACGCCUGUUAAAGCUAAUUUGUUGGAGCAUGUCAAUGCACUUGAUAAUUUCUCGUGCCCGCAUAGUGUUCUGAGUUCAAAUUUUAUUUUUUCCUCACCAACACAAAAACCUCUGGCCGAAGAGGCAAUGGUUUCCGGGUAUGUCGUGGUUAUACGUGUUUUGACACAGGACAGAACACAAUGGCGUUCUAAGAUUCAUAUAGCCGAUCCCACUCAGUGACUUAGAUUUUCCAAGUCUCCAACCGAGAAGUUUUCCUCCCUCGGGAAAUUAAGGGAACACUACCUCAACCUACAUGCUCCACUCACAAAGCUUCAACAAAAGAAAAUUCAAAGAACUUAGCGAAGAAGGUUUUGGUGUAUUUAACACAAUACGUUGAAAUGAAGGAAAGCUUAUUUAUUGAUAUCCCCGAUAAGUUACAAAUAUGUACAUAUACUUGAGUCAAAAUAAACAAACAAGAGGGAGCCUUCACAAAGGUUGCUUAGGAGAAGUCUCAGCAGUCGGUAGAGCCCCAGAAAGAGAAGGCACCGGAGGAGGAUCAUUCGGAGCCUCAGUACUGGACAAAACCCUAGAAGGAGGAGGCAUCAGAGGUUGAUCAUUUGGAGCUUCAUUACGCGGUACAGCCCUAGAAGACGAAGGCAAUAAAUGCCUUUGGAACAAACCCACAAAUUUCUGAUGAUCAAGUAAAACCUGACCAUCAGAUUCCUUCAUCUGGUCAAGCUUCCUCUUCAUGUUUGUAGCAUAGUCAUGUGCGAGCCGGUGCAACUGUUUAUUCUCAUGCUUGAGCCCUCUAAUCUCCUGUUUGAGACUCAUCACUUCAGCCGCCAAUGAUUCAACUUGGCGGGUUCGAGCAAAUAGGCGUUGGGCCAUAUUAGACACAGAACCUGCACACUGAACACUGAGAGCCAGAGAAUCCUUAACAGCCAACUCAUCAGACCGUUUGGAAAGUAGUCUGUUAUCUUUAGGAGUGAGAAGGUUCCUGGCCACUACCGCAGCGGUCAUAUCAUUCUUCAUCACGGAAUCCCCAACGGUAAGAGGACUAGUAGGGGAGACGAAGGAUGGGCGCCAUAUGUUGUCUGGAGAAGGCGGGGCUGCCUCUUCAACAAGGUUCAAGUCAAAACAACGGUCGGAGGGGCCAGACAUUUUCAAAGGUGUUGAAGAGAGAAGAGGUCGGACAAAUCAAGAUCUUAGAAGUGCAAGAAUGGAGCUUCUACUGGUGGAUAUUCAAGUAUGCUUUGGAACUUAAUGUCAGCCCCUAUAAAAAUCUGCACUCGACGAAGCUUCAGAAAUCGAAGAGGCGCCUGCUCAGAAAUCAAAGAGGCGUUUGCUUUCUCAAAAGCUGGGCUGCUCAGAGACCACGAGGGUCGAUCUCAGAAAUCGAAGAGGCGUUUUCUUUCUCGAAAGCUGGGCUGCUCAAAGACCACGAAGGCCGAUCUCAGAAAUCGAAGAGGCUUGCUUUCUCAAAAGCUGGGCUGCUCAGAGACCACGAGGGCCGAUCUCAGAAAUCGAAGAGGCACCUACUUUUCCAGCCUUGCAGCACCUGUCACACGCACACUCAGCUUUGCGGAAAUUAUGGGCAUUCUGUCGAAGAUUUCUGGCGAAAUAGAAAGCACAUGAAUCGUACUGUUCAAUCACCCACUUCCCACACGCAACAGUAACUCAUAGGUACCACAGAUAACUUUGCCAAAGUUCUCUGACAAAGUUGAGACACGUGAAGCUUGCAGCUCCCGCUACAUCGCUCUGACCAAGAAGGGUAAAAGAAUUGCAAAGAAACAACACUAACAAAGUUUAGACACAUAAAUUUUGAAGGUCUAGCUACCAUAUUAUUACCCACAAGGGUAAAGGAACAGUACCACUGCUGGAUAAUUGGAAAGUCCCGGUGUGUCAACCUCUGUGCUUCGUGGCAAGGUAGACUAGCAAACAUGCCCAACCUUUACUCACAUUCGAGAAAACACUCCCAACAGGAUUGCUUGCUCCAAAAUCGAAGAGGCACCGCCCUCCGAAUCUCGAGAGCCAGACUCCCAACAUGAUUACUUUCUCAAAAAUCGAAGAGAGGGUAAAAGAACAGUACCACUGCUGGAUAAUUGGAAAGUCCCUGUGUGUCAACCUUUGUGCUUCGUGGCAAGGUAGACUAGCAAACAUGCCCAACCUUUACUCACAUUCGAGAAAACACUCCCAACAAGAUUGCUUGCUCCAAAAUCGAAGAGGCACCGCCCUCCGAAUCUCGAGAGCCAGACUCCCAACAUGAUUACUUUCUCAAAAAUUGAAGAGAGGGUAAAGGAACAGUACCACUGCUGGAUAAUUGGAAAGUCCCUGUGUGUCAAUCUCUGUGCUUCGUGGCAAGGUAGACUAGCAAACAUGCCCAACCUUUACUCACAUUCGAGAAAACACUCCCAAUAAGAUUGCUUGCUCCAAAAUCGAAGAGGCACCGCCCUCCGAAUCUCGAGAGCUAGACUCCCAACAUGAUUACUUUCUCAAAAAUCGAAGAGACACCGCUCUCCGAAUCUCGAGAGCCAGACCCCCAGCAGGAUUGCUUUCUCAAAAAUCGAAGAGGCAUCGUUCUCCGAAUCUCGAGAGCCAGAUCCCCGACAGGAGUGCUUGUUCGAAAACCGAAGAGGCACCACUUUCCCAACUUCAAGAGCUGGAUCUCCUUGGAUAAAGCUUGUCUGUAAUCUUCACACGCAACAUCAGCUUUCCAGAUACCACAGACGACUUUUUCAAAGUGCUCUGACAGAGUUAAAACAUGUGAAGCUGGCAGCUCCCACUACCGUGCUAUAACCAAGCAGGGUAAAGGAAUAACAUUAUUACUUGAUGUUAGGGAGACUCCUAUAUAUGUCGACCUCCAUCCCUAACGGACAGUCAGACCUGCAAAAAUGCUCAACCCUUUCUCUUAUCUGAGAGAGCACUCCCAACGAAGCCUUUCGAAAUAUUCAGCUUUCUUUCCCCCCGAUAAUACCUCUGUAAACAAGCUAUACUAGAGCAAGAAUAUAUCAUAUCAUCAGGGUUAAAAGCAAGAGUAUCCCAUAUCAUGCUUUUUCCCUGUCUUUUCCUUUGGCCUUGUUCUUACCUGCAAGACAAGGAGAAAGAGAGCAAUCAGUCAGCACUUGGAAUCAAGCUUCCAGCCAGGAACUGACUGCCUGGAACCCCUUACCUGAUUACUUACCUGGCAUUGCUCUCGAGUACUCAUCUUCAACAUCUUAUGCUUCCAGGGAAGAUACCGCAUCUGCCUGAGGAACAGAUAGGGCAAGUGAGAAGGAUACAAGGAAGCAUGUGGAGACAAGCGUAACAGCACACGUGCCGAUACAUCCACUACUCUGUCAAAAGCAAAAGUAUCCCAUAUCAGCAGGGUCGAACGUACUCUAGAUUUGAUGGACUUGUUUUGACCCUCAAAUUCCUUAGUCGGCCUUAUACUCUGGAGGAAACCAGAAAACCCUCCAGCCCGGUUCAAGAAUAAGCAUGUGGAAAGUUACUUCUUCAAAAGCAAAAGUAUCCCAUAUCAUCUCUUCUCAUUUUUCUUCUCUUUAUCCUUCAUGUUGCCUGCAAGAUAGGGAGAAUGUGAACAAUCAGCCGGAGCUCUGAUUGCUUACCUUGUCUGUCACAUCUUUCAGCAGAUCCCCUAGCCCGGCGACUUGGGGGACUCCUACUACAUGGUUUGUAUCGCGUUUGACCAAGCCUGAAACUACAAGUAAGCUUCAAGUGAAAUUGAUACAUUACCUUGUGCAUCUCCACCAGUUACAGAUACCACCCCUGGAUGGAGGAAGAGUACUUCCAGAGAAGAUGCCACAUCUACCUAUGAGACAGAUAAGGCAAGUCAAGACGAUACCACACUCCGGUACUUAGAAGUUUCGUGGUUACGAGAUCAUUCUCCCACAAUAUUUCCUAAUGUCAUUUGUACUAAAUCAUUCACUUGUACUCACUAAAGGAGAGCUCACUAAAGGAGAGCUUGAACCUAUGUACUUGUGUAAACCCUUCACAAUUAAUGAGAACUCCUCUAUUCCGUGGACGUAGCCAAUUUGGGUGAACCACGUACAUCUUGUGUUUGCUUUCCUAUCUCUAUCCAUUUAUAUACUUAUCGACAUUAAUGACCGGAGCAAUCUAGCGAAGAUCACAAAAAGUGACCGUUUUCGCUACCUAGGAUCUAUCUUGCAAGAGAACGGAGAAUUAGAUGGAGAUCUCAACCAUAGAAUACAAGCUGGAUGGAUGAGGUGUAAGAGUGCAUCCGGCGUGUUGUGUGACCGUCGUAGGCCACUGAAGCUCAAGGGAAAAUUUUAUAGGACGACAAUAAGGCCAGCGAUGUUGUAUGGCACAGAAUGUUGGGCGGUGAAGCAUCAACACGUACACAAAAUGGGUGUAGCGGAGAUGAGGAUGCUUCGUGGGAUGUAUGGGCACACGAGAAAGGAUAAGAUUGGGAAUGAGGAUAUCCGAGGUAAAGUAGGAGUAGCCAAAAUUGAAGGAAAUAUGAGAGAAAAUCGGUUCCGGUGGUUCGAACAUGUGCAAAGAAGGCCUACUGACGCUCCGGUUCGAAAAUGUGACUACGGGACAGAGGUUCAGGGCCGAAGGGGUAGAGGAAGACCUAGGAAAACUUUGGAAGAGACCUUAAGAAAAGACUUGAGUACUUGGAUCUAACGGAGGACAUGACACAAAACCGAGCGCAAUGGCGUUCAAGGAUUCAUAUAGCCGACCCCACUUAGUGGGAAAAGGCUUUGUUGUUGUUGUUGUUGUUGUACUGUUAUUUCAUUUCAUCUUGUGGAUUACUUGUUAUUUGGUGACAACUUGACAUUAGUUUAUGUAUUUGGUGAUUGUGGUCUUUUGCUUGGGUAAGAUAUAGCUCUUGUGUUUGUGUUAUUUACAUGAUUUAUUUUUUGUUUCAGCUAAUUUUAAGUUUCAUCUACCUUAGCGAUCAGGGCCUGUUAUGAGAUUUUAGGGGUAUGGGUCCCUGUGUAAAAGAAUCCCACUAUAGCGAAGCUAAUUUAUAUGUCUAUAGUUGUAUUAAUGUGGUAUCUAAAUGGAGUAUUAUUACUCGUGAGUUAUAGUUCAAAUCAACAGUAAUCAUGAACGUAAAACACAAUUUAGAGCUAAGCCAUCAGAACCAAACUAAGAAACAUAAAAGUGAUUCCUCUAAUACAGAUGGAGGCCAUUAUUCUCUUAUUCACAUACAAAUCCUAAAAAAUUUCCCUAAGAUGAAUUCUUUUUACGGAAACCAAGUUGGUACAUAUAUACAUAUGCUAUCAUCAUUUAGGAACCCCUUAAGAUUGGGGGCCCUGUGCAAGGGCACCUAUUGCACAUACCCAAGACCACCACUGCAAUCCAUUCCCAAAUAUUAAUAUCUGUCCCAAAUAUUAAUGUAGGCAAAAUUCAUGCCUCUGCAAUCCAUUCCCAAGAUGAGAAUCGUUUCCAGAAAAAAAAAAAUGAUCUGAAUUACAUCGGGGUUGUUGAAUCUCUUUCUAAAAUUUCUUAGUAACGAACUGUUUCAAGUUGCUUUACAUAUUGAAAAACUCUGCUAGAAGUAUUACAUCUUGGUUUCUAUCCAUGAACCCUUUUCUUUGGUUACAUUAAGUGCUAAACUCAAUAUCUGCAGUUCAUGGUAGAACAUGAUAUUCGUUUUCUUUUUCCCCUCUCUCCUAGAAAUACCGAACAAGCCAUCUAAGAAAUAGCUAUCAACAAUUUUAUUAAUGUAAUUUUUUUUACUGGAACUGAAAAUAGUCAUUGUCACAAAUGCUAACGGGUUUAUUGUGCUUCAAGAAGCUCCACACAUGCAUUUCUGAAGUUUUCUAUUAUAGAUAGUACUUGCAUUUGUAUAUGCUAAUCUUUGCAACUUCAAUACAAUUUGACAGUGCCAUUUUUUAAGUCGCAAAGGCUGCAUCGUUUUGGUUAUGUUUGAUGGCAAUCUCACAGCCGCGAUCGCUCCACGCUUUGUUGUUAAGUUUUUGUAUCAGUAUUGUAGACCUUGUGAUGUUCAGAUUGCAAGAGAAUUCGAGAAGUUUGGCAAUCCAAGAGCGUCCCCUGCACAAAUAGAAAUGGAUGCGAUCUUGGACCCGCCGACGAGAUGAGCAGGUGAUGUUAUUGCUUUCGACAUCUCCUUCUUUUUGUAUCUUUUUUAAAAAUGUUAUUCUUUAGGCUGCUUCAGAGUAUCUCUCUUCUAGUUGCCUCAUUGUUCAUUGUUUGCUAUCCGAAGGAUAGGAUUUGUAACUUUGUAGUGCUAGCCUUAUAUUUUGUGUUCAUCUUUUGUUUUAUUGUACCUUAAGAUUCAUUCGGUGUAAUUAGAUUUGUUUAAAGAGAAGAAUUAGACAAUCGAUACAAUACAUGAAUUUUACCACAUAAGUUUGGAUUGUGUUCAGAUUGAAUCCUUCAUACCAACUUGAAGUCGACCAAAAAGUACAGGGGUUUCAAACAGAUCCUACAUCCUGCCUCAGGUCUCCUCUCGUCUCCUUUCAUUCAGCGACUUGGGAGAUAAAAAAAUAAUAUACAAAUUAUGUGGGAGGUUUACCAUUAAAUAUUACUGUGGCAUUCUGUGAUAAAGUUUACACCAAGUAAUAGAUGGUUAAGUGAGGACAAUAUUGGUUAAGUGAGGACAAUAUCAGUGAAUGAAUGAGAUCAUAAGCAACACCUAGUAAUGAUAGGCCUAAAAAGUGUCAUGGUAUCACUAUCAAAACAUGUUAUUCUUCUGACACGAAAAGUUGUGUUUGCUCCGGCAUAAUAAAUGAGUUAAUGGUUUUGUUAUCCCACCCCUAGGAAAUAACCAGUAGUGUUACGUACUAUGCUAUGCAAGUCUUAAAUCUUUAAAGAAAGAAUUCAACCAUCAACUGCCACAUCAUGCGGUCAACAACAUAUGGUUCAAAAAACAGCCAUAAUCGGUAAUGUUACGUACUAUGUUAUGCAAGUCUUAAAUCAUUAAAGAAAAAAUCCAACCAUCAACUGUCACAUCAUGCAGCCAACAACAUAUGGUUCAAAAACAAUCUCCCUAGCAUUUUCCUUAAAAUUUUAGUUUGUCAACCAAAAAGUGAUUAAAUUUUUAGUUUUACAUGCUAGCGGAAUACACGUAACAUAAGUAAAACUGAAAAGAUUAAAACGUGAAGGUAAGUGAGAAGGUUGUAAGCACUCCCAUUUGUAUUUAAUCAAAGCUCAAUAACAAUUUCAUAUCCUAAAACAGGUCUAAUGAAACAAUUAUUCUUUGAAGAACCGCCAAGCAAACGAUGAGUGCAGAACCCUGUGUCCUAAUGCACCAAACAACGGGCUUCGUACUAUUAGUCAUAUCCUGUACUCUAUGCGGCGUGCCAAACGAGACCAUGGUGUGCUAAUUCAUGGAGAGCACCAUACAUCGGAGUAGGGCAUUGCAACAAAGUGACCCAAUUUCUCGCUUCAUAUUUUUACAUUGUGCAGUAUUCAUGACCAGGAUGGAGAUACAUCCUUCCCCGAGGAAAUCUGUUGCCACAAACGCAAGCCACGCCACCUAGUCUAGGAAACGUAAUGUACAGGUAUUCAAGCAAGCACUGCCAUGAGGCAGCACGCAACGAACCCACACUCUUCACCGUAUCCGCACUGUGUCUACCUGAAGAUUAAAGUGAAAGCGAAAGAUGAGAAAAUCAUGCCGCCGUAUUCAAUCACACCAGUAUGUGAAAACCAUCAUCCUGCGGUGGAGUUACCUUUUCGAUGCAGGACAAUCAUAUUCAAGCCGGAUAGGCAGAGCCACAGAGCGGAAUUCAAGGACUACCACUUGUCGUAAUUUUGGUUGCCUCAGAUAGCCAUGUCUUUACAUUUCCACAGAAUGCACAGAAAUAAGUCACUCCCAUCACAAACUGUCCAGGCGUUGUCGGAAGACAGAUUCCGCUUGGGAGUUUUCAAUUUAAAAAAAACUAGAGUAAAAAGAAACAAGAAAAUAAAAAAUGAGAUUUCGAGUGAAUUGGAAGUUCAGGAAUGUUUUAGCACCCAAAAAAAGGGUGCACAAAAUCAAUUAAAGCAAGUUUUGAGCAACCUUUUUAAUCAAAUAUAUAAUAGAACAAAAGUAGGAAUUACCUCUAAAAGUUUCACUGAACUUCAAAAAUUGAAGAGCAUUUCCCAUAUCCUCAGCAGCUAAUGGUGGCCUGACGUAGGGGAAGCUCAAGAUCAACCUCUCUGCUCUCAAUGCGGCGUUCCUUGACCCUGCGACACCCUCCUGCAGUCUUGCCCUUGCUCUUGCCCUUGGCAUUAUUCUUAUUCACAGCAGCAGCACCAUCUCUGCUGCAUUACAAGUUUCCAUCAACCCGUCCUGCUUUGCCGCAUCCCAGUACUUCACAUCAUUGCUCUGAUCAAGGGCGUUCUCCUUCCCUCGUUUGCUAGGUGAAUCAACACACAUUGCCUACCAAAACUUGAGACCAUAAGCCCUCCUAAACAGAAUUAAAACCAACCAAAAACAAUAUCAAUAUGCAUUCUCAAAGAAAAAACUAUAAUCAAUAGCACCAUCUCUGCUGCCAAAAUCAACCUCUUGAGUCUCAAUAGUCCCGGGCCAUUCCUUUACUUUAUGAUGUUUUCUGAACGCCUUGGCAUUGACAUCCUUAUUGCUCACAGCAGCAGCACCAUAUCUGCCGCCAUUACAAAUUUCCAUCAACUCUUCCUGCUUUGUUUUCAUAGUUUCCGGCUCAUCAGAUUCAGAGAUGCAUCCAAGUUCAUAUCUUUGUUUCCACCAAGAGACUUCUCCUUCCCUCGUUUUCUUGGUGAACCAACACCGGUUACCUAUCAAAACUCGAGGGCAUAAACCCAUGCGAUAGCCACAACAGGAUUCAACGACUAGUCAUUCAUUUAAACAAACACGUGUUGCUUUUGGAUGAUGUUGUUCUGAAAUAUAAAGAAGCAUAUUUUUUAAAGGGUAGCGUAGUUGAAUUAAACAAUUAGAAACUCACAGUAUAGAUGACAGUAAACAAUUGAAGAGACUUUUACAGAAUCUGAAUCUUGGCUAUGGAAUGAAAUCUGUUGCUACAACAGAAGGCCACCUAGUCUAGUAAACGUAAUGUACAGGUAUUCAAGCCAUCUCUAUACAUUACCAGAAAGCACAGCCAUGAGGCAACACGCAACGAACCCACACACUCUUCACCACAUCCGUGCUGUGUCCACCUGAAGAUAAAAGUUUAAUUGAAAGAUGAGGAAAUCAUGCACCAUGUUCAAACCACACCAGCAUGUGAAAACCAUCAUACUCAGGUGGGGUUACCUUUUCCGAUGCAGGAGAAUCAUGUUCAUGCCGGAUGGGCAGAGGCAGAGCCACUGAGUGGCAUUCAAGGACUACAACUUGUCGUAAUUUUGGUUUCCUCAGAUAAUCAUGUCUUUCCAUUUCUACAGAACGCACAUAAAUAAGUCACUCCCAUCACAUUCUCCUAAAAAUUUCAAGAAACAUUUUUCUUUAAAGGAAAAAGAAAACAGAACAAGAAAGCAAGGCAGUAUGCUGGGCCUAAACAAUUCAAUAGAAAUUUCUGCAGAUACAUGUGACAAAUUUUACUCCUCUGCCCUGUUCCUCUUAUUUUAGUAAUUGAACUCUGAAACUUUGAAAGGAAUUCAGCGGGUUCGUCCACUCUCUCUUUAAAUCUUAGAUUGGCUAAACAACUAAAAAUGGUUAACUAUAAAAAAGGAAGAAAAAUCUAUAUGUAGAUUUUAUGUAGAAAAGUUGAGACAAUCAAUAUAACAAAUAAAAGAUAAAGUACCUGACAUUAGAGAGUUGAGAGUGAAAUGAGAAGCAAAAGUUUUGGUGUGAGAGAGAGAGAGAGAAAGAGAGAGAGAGAGAGAGAGAGAGAUCAUAUCAUGAUGACUUUGUCAUCUAUCUUUAUGCAAGGAAUAUGAGCUAUCUUUCUCCAUUCUUUUCCCUUCUUGUUCUCAUACCUCUUCUUCAGAGAGGGGCAUCUGGUGAUGUUCGGGAAAGAAAUAGAUGCCGGAAAACCCUGUUUUGGCAGGAAGUCGAGACUAUCACACCUUCCAAUAUAUAGCUUUUGAAGAGAAGAGAGAUGUUGAAGUCCAUUUAUGUCCAAAGAUUUCAGACUUGAUAGAUAAGAGAUUGCAAGAGUGUGAAGAGCGGUAAGAAGCAGCUGUUCCUUGAGCAACUUCUUCAACACAUCCUCGCUGCUGAUCUGAAAUCUUUGAAGGGAGACAAGUCGUUGCAAACCCCAGUUCUCCACUGAAGGCCUCAGUUACUCACAAUCUCUGUUAUGAAAUGUUUGUAGGUUGGGAGGCAAACCCCUUUCACCAAAUGACACAAAUUUUGGAAGAUCCCAGGUCCUCAAUUUUUAAGGGUGGUGCAGGCGUGCAUAUGUUUGGGCAAUAUCUUCAUAUUAUCGAUCCCCAGACUCCAAUAUGAAAUUUUUGCUAUCACGUCCCUUUUACAUUGGCCAAUCUUUCAUUGUGCUCCCCAAUCCAUCCCCUCGGUGUCCUGGAGGAAAGACCGAAAAGAUCUUGUAACUUGAAAUGCAGAAAACAGGACAAUUACAAAAUUAUAAUUUGCAUAAUAUGUAUCUUCUACUUACUUUGUGUUAAGAGCCUCAUCGCAGAGGAAAUUUAAAAGCUUAAGGCAUCAUAUCCAUCCCCGCCUCCACUAAAACACUCUGCGGGCAGCUCCUUCAACCUUAGCGACCCUGGAUGCAGAGAUUAGGUUCUCCAAAUCUUGGAACCAUGAUCGGUUGGUGCUUGCUUGCUCAAGAGACCUUAGAGAAAAUAAAGUUGGCGUAAACCACAUGAACUAUUUUCACCAUCAAAGCUUACUAAAGUACUUUAUGCAUAACUAUAAUAUACGAGGUAGAGUGCUUACUAAAGUACUUUAUAGCUAUGAAAUCGAACAAUGGAGUACUGUUCACUUCGUCCACAUCUUCCACGCGAUAGUUCUCGAAGAACAGAGUCAGCUUGGGACGUUUCAAUUUUAAAAAACUAGAGUAAAAAGAAGAAGAAAAAAAUGAGAUAGUACCUAAGAAAAGGUGCACAAAAUCAAUUAAAACAAGUUUAGAGCAACAUUUGAAUCAAAUAUAUGAUACAACUAAAGUAAGAAUUACCUCUCUAAAAGUUUCACAGAAUUUCAAAAUAUUUCCCACAUCCUCGGCAGCUAAUGGUGCCCUGAUGUAGGGGAAGCUCAAGAUCAACCUUUCCGGUCUCAACGCGGUGUUCCUUGACCCUGUGACACCCUCUUGCAGCCUUGCCCUUGGCAUCAUUCUCAUUCACAGCAGCAGCACCAUCUCUGCCGAAUUACAAGUUUCCAUCAACUAGUCCUGCCUUCCUGGAUCGAACUAAUUCACAGAUUCACUCUGAUCAAGGGUGGUCUCCUUCCCUUGUUUGCUAGGUGAAUCAACACAGAUUGCCCGCCAACACUCGAGACCAUAAGCCCUCUUAAACAGAACUAAAACCAACCAACAACAAUAUCAAUAUGCAUUCAAAAAGAAAUCACUAUAAUCAACACCACCACCAUCUCUGCUGCCAAAUUCAACCACUUAAGUCUCAAUAUUCCUGGCCCACUCCUUGACUUUAUGAUGAUUUCUCACUACCUUGCCAUUGACAUCCUUAUUGCUCAUAGCAGCAUUGACAUCCUUAUUGCUCAUAGCAGCAGAACCAUCUCUGCUGCCAUAACAAAUUUCCAUCAGCUCUUCCUGCUCAAGUAACAUGAUGUACUGACUUCCAACAAGCUCAAGCAUGAGGGCAGUGCUCCAAAGAAACCUGGCUCUCAUUUUUGUUUUGUGGUCAUCGUCACCCAUUCUCACUCCAUCAGCUGUGUUUGUGCAAAAACAUAUCUGCACCCAUUCGAACAUGGCAGCAGCAUGAAGAGAAUAUGAAAAGGCAUGCUGCUUUUAUUGAAAAAAAGAAGAGUAUAUGAGUAAAACAUCAUUAGAAGGGUUACCUAUCCAAUUGAAGGAGAAUCAUAUUCAUGCCACACUGCAGGAGAACCAUUCAUGGACAACUAAUUGAUGGAUGUUAAAAUCGUUGGCCUUUGAUAAUUCAAUAUUUACAGUUCAACAGUUUGCUAUCUACAUCAGAGAAGCCGACAAACACGUUAGUGACAUAAUCUUGCCCUGAAAGCAUAGUUGAAUUUCACUGUUAAGAUUUGACUAAUAUAUAAGCCUAAAUGAUUAAAGAAAAAUUCUACAGAUAGAUGUAACAUAUUUACAAAAGCCUUAGGAAUCAUGCCUUCACAUUUGUCCUUACUUUCCCCACUUUAUCAUCGCAAUCAAUCUCUGAAAGUGGGAACAAAAUUUAGACAUGAUUUGACAUGGAAAGAUAGCAAUGUGAAAGUUUUAGUGGGAGCAGAGUAGUAAUCACUUGAGGUGUACCAAGAUGCAAAAUAAUAAGAAAAUUUAGGAACCAGUUUUCCUGAAUUUCUUAUUCCUAAAAUAUUGAGUAAACAACUCUAGUAAACAAAUUCAAAUUUUACUUGUGAUGGAAAAAAAAAAUAUAUAUAUAUAUAUAUAUCAAAGUCCUUCACAAGAAUUAGAGGCAAAGAAAAGCUUGUGUGGAGUUUUACCUUCACGUGGUUUCGCCCACUUCCAUUCGUCAUCAAAUUGAAAAAUUGCUUGUUUCUUCUCAUCGAUAUUGAAUGCAGAUGUCAACUCAAGCGCAUUCCUUUUUCAUACCUUGUCUCAGAAAGAUACCUUAAAUUCAAAGUUGAAGAUACUAUAAAUUAAUGAGUGAUCUAAGAAAACAAGCAUAUAUCUCAGUGGAACCUAAUUAGCACAGCUUCUUCAAAUUAAAUUCCAGUUUGUUACGCGUUCAAGUUUGACAAUCUGGAUCUUUUCCUUAUCUUAAGAUGAAUGUGCAUUCUACCACACUCAAAUCAUAUCAGCAUGAGAAAGGAAAAAAACAUCAUCCAGGGUUACCUCAUAUUCUUGACAGAUAGCCAUGGCAUGAUUCGACAACUAGUAAUUUAUGUAAGCAAACACAUGUUGCCCUUGGAUGAUAUUGUCCUGAAAUUUAAAGGACCAUGUUUUUGUUAGAUUACCGUAGUUGAAUUAAAAAAUUAAAAACUGACUGAUUAACUAAUUAAUUAAACUAAGUAAAAGUAUAGAUGACAGUAAACAAUUGAAGAGAAAGUUUUACAGAAUCUGAACAUAGUGUUAUGCACGUACCAGACUUUGACUUGAGAUCUCAAAUGAUGACUUGAUCAUCGAUCUUGAUGAAAGGAAUGUGAGCUAUCUUGCUCCACUCUUGUCCCGUCUUCUUCUGACACCUCUUCUUCAGGGAAGAACACUUUUCGAUGCUCAGAAAAGAGAGCGAUGCCGGCAAACCCUCUUUUGGCAGGAAUUCGAGACUAUCCCACCACCCAAUUUUGAGCUCUUGAAGAGAAGUGAGGUGUUGAAGUCCCUUUCCCUCCAAAGAUUUCAGGCUUUUCAUUUCACCGAUUGCGAGAGUGUGAAGAGUGGUAGGGAGCAGCUGUUCCUUGAGCACCGUCUCCAACACAUCCUCGCUUCCUGAGCUAUCAAAUGUUCGAAGGGAGACAAUUCGUUGCAAACCCCAGUACUCCACUGAAGGCCUCAGUUUCUCACAACGACUGAUUCGAAAUGAUUGUAGGUUGGGAGGCAAACCCCCUUCUGCAAAUGACUCAACAUUUGGAAGUUCGUGUAAACUCAGGUCUCGAAGGGCGGUGAGGGUGUGUAUUCGGCCGGGCAAUAACUUCAAAUUCUCGCAUCUCUGGACUACAAAUCGAGCCAGUUUGGGAGUGGGCAAUCCCCCGUGGGGAAAAGAGACCAGAUUUGGACAGCAAGAGGUCCAGAGAUCGUCGAGAUGAGUGAGAUUUUCGUCAUCAGCUCCUUCUCCAAUGGCAAGGGAUUCUAGACUUUUACUGCCCCAGAUACUAAGAUAUGAAAGUUUGGGGAAAACGCCCAGCGGGAAGGACCUCAGUGAAUCACAGCUGUAGACCAAAUCCAAAUGUCGAAGGGAUGUCAAUUUGGCCAUCAUCUCAUGAGAUAGGAAUUCUAAUCUCCUGCAUUUUUUUAUUUCAAGAUAUGUCAACGAAGUGGGUAGACCAUUUCUCGGGAACGACAAGAGUGACGCGCAGUUAACGAGCCUCAAACUUCCAAGACAGCUGCUGAAGUGCGGCUGCAAGCAAUCUGGGCGACUAAAAAAUUGAAUCUCAAGAUUCCAAAGCGAGCACAGCGACUCCGUCUCUAGUAACGAAGAGAGACCAGGGCAUCUAACGAUCUUCAGUUGUUUAAGAGAUUGUCGCAAGGACUCCGUGUUGACGAUGAGAGACCAAGGUAUCCAUCUUGUUCUGGUAGCCCUUUCAUGUAGAACCCCGCAGUCUGACACCCGAAGCUUUCUCAAUGAAGGAAGAUGAUCGGGCAAGUUUCCCUUCAGCUUCGGACACUUCCCUAAAAUGAGCACCUCAAGACGAGGAAAGUCAGGAGAUUGACCUCUACCUGGACUCGACAGCCAUUCCUCCCACUCCGGCAUCUCUUUGAACUCUAGCUUCUUGAGAGAUUGAAAUGGUUGACUUAGAGAAGCUCCAUUACCCCCGUAGAACUCGACACCAAUACUCACGACUAAUUUCAUCCUUUCUAUAUAGAGCUCCUUGAGAGCGGGAAGCCGCCCAACCGGUGGCAAUGAGAAGCAAGUACCACAAUCACUAAUACGCAUGACUUGUAUGUUGGCGAAGGAAGAGUCACCCAACCAAUCCGGAAAGCUGGUUCCACCAUAAAAUUUGAUGGUCAGCUUCACCAGAUUUGCAGAAGGUUGUAGGCUUUCAAGUACGUGUCUCUCUUUUAUGGAAUCAUUUGCUUCCUCACGACCCCAUGCCAACUCUACUUCGUUGAGAUCUUUCUUAUCCUUCAAAUUGGCCCCCAAGGCAUCUAUAGGAUUGACGACAUUUUGUAGAUUCAAGAUAGAGAGGUUUCCUCGAAGGUUCGACAAUUGCCCCAAUUCACCAAUGCCACCCGACCUAGUAGAUUCCCCCAACACAAAAGCAGUCAAUGUUCUCAAACUUUUUAGUCUACCCAUUUGCACCGGCAUCUCUUUUAUACAAGUUCCACUAAUAUCAAGAUGACGCAAAUUAAUCAAUUUCCUCAUGUCUGCAGGCAAUUCAACAAGAGAGGAACAACCGACCAACAAUAGAGUUUGCAAAUUGUAGAGAGUACACAUCGUAUCUGGUAACUUUUUAACUGCAGUGUGAGAGAGAUCAAUGUAGCGCAAGUUUAAGUGUUUACCAAUGUUAUCAGGUAAUUGCGUGAUAUUUUUAUAUCUUGACAGUGACAACACCCGUAAACAUUUUAGGGCUGGUAAUAAAUCAUCUAGAACCUUUAUGCUUACAUAAAGGCUCUUAUCCCACUCAUAGUAUGGUCUUAAAGACAUAGGAAAGAAGGUGCGCAAACACUUAAUUUCAUCCAAUGACUUAAAUCUUGCAGCAGUAUCAAAUCUUCCUCUCAUAUAUGACAAAUGCCGAACUUUUUUAGGAACUUCAACAUGUGGCUCUCCAUCCAACCUACAACAAAAUUCUCCAGACACAGACACAGCCAAGUCGUUAAUGAGAUCAUGCAUUGUGAAACUUGAUUUCCAUGAUCUUUGAAGUAGUGAUCGUGACAAUAGUUCAUCCAAGUAUCUCUCACCAAGCUCUUCCAAUCCUUUACCACUCUCAUCUUGUGGAAUUAAACCCACUGCCAUCCAAAGUAGAAUUAUAUAUUCCUUUUCUAAUUCAUAGUCCUUUGGGAAAAUUGAGAGAUAAGCAAAGCAUUGUUUUAAAUAAGUAGGGAGAUAAUGGUAACUCAAUCUUAAAGAUGGAAGAACACUUUUAUCAUGCAGUGUCUCCCAAAGAUUGUUGUUCAAUAUGUGACACCACUCCUUGUAACCUACAUUACAACCUAAGAGACCCCCAAGUGCUUUUGCAGCUAAAGGAAGACCGUUGCACUUGCGUGCAAUUUGCUUACCAAUUUCUUCCAAGUCUGGAUGCGCACUAGGAUUUUCAUUUCUAAAUGCAUGUUUUCUGAGUAACAACCAACAAUCUUCAUGCGACAAUUGUUCCAAAUAGUGAAUAGGACCGGUAUGCACAAUGGAUGCGACACUUUUGUUCCUUGUUGUCACUAUGACCUUACUUCCCCUCGCCCCAUAAGUAAAAGGAGCCCGUACAAGAUCCCAAGCACUAUAGUCGUCAUUCCAAAGGUCAUCCAACACAAAUAGGAACUUUUUCUCCCUCACUUGUUCCCUAAGUUCAACUUGAAGCAAGCUAUCUUGAAAAAUGCAAGGUUUUGAGAUAAUUGAUUCAAUAAGGGUUUUAGUUACCCUCAUAGCAUCAAAAUCUUCGGAAACACAGGCCCAAGCUGUAACAUCAAAAUGCUCUUUUAUAUUUUUAUCAUUGUAAAGGAGCUGAGCAAGGGUUGUCUUACCGACCC
Molecule: long non-coding RNA, 25162 nt
Filed under: Malus domestica (apple)
Lineage: Eukaryota; Viridiplantae; Streptophyta; Magnoliopsida; Rosales; Rosaceae
Description: long non-coding RNA (MDOM_LNC006513)
Source: RNAcentral